Molecule: ribosomal RNA, 447 nt
Filed under: uncultured bacterium
Lineage: Bacteria
Description: bacterial SSU rRNA
Rfam family: Bacterial small subunit ribosomal RNA
Source: RNAcentral
UGGGGAAUAUUGGACAAUGGGGGCAACCCUGAUCCAGCCAUGCCGCGUGAGUGAUGAAGGCCUUCGGGUUGUAAAGCUCUUUUGGCGGGGACGAUGAUGACGGUACCCGCAGAAUAAGCCCCGGCUAACUUCGUGCCAGCAGCCGCGGUAAGACGAAGGGGGCUAGCGUUGUUCGGAAUUACUGGGCGUAAAGCGAGUGUAGGUGGUUGUCAUAGUCAGGUGUGAAAGCCUUGAGCUCAACUCAAGAAAUGCACUUGAUACUGGGCGACUAGAGGACCGGAGAGGAUAGUGGAAUUCCCAGUGUAGUGGUGAAAUACGUAGAGAUUGGGAAGAACACCAGUGGCGAAGGCGGCUAUCUGGACGGUUUCUGACACUAAGACUCGAAAGCGUGGGGAGCAAACAGGAUUAGAUACCCCAGUAGUCCCUGAGCGGGCUGGCAAGGCGCAU